UACAGAGGUCUCAAGCGUUGUUCGGAUUCAUUGGGCGUAAAGGGUGCGUAGGUGGCGCGCUAAGUCGGGUGUGAAAUCUCGGAGCUUAACUCCGAAAUUGCAUUCGAUACUGGCGUGCUCGAGGACUGAAGAGGAGACUGGAAUUUACGGUGUAGCAGUGAAAUGCGUAGAUAUCGUAAGGAAGACCAGUGGCGAAGGCGGGUCUCUGGGCAGUUCCUGACACUGAGGCACGAAGGCCAGGGGAGCAAACGGG
RNAcentral lists this ribosomal RNA (253 nucleotides) under uncultured bacterium. RNAcentral's name for it is "partial 16S ribosomal RNA". It matches the Rfam family "Bacterial small subunit ribosomal RNA", at positions 524 to 776 of the family's 1533-position model. The record is from RNAcentral.